Mauremys reevesii (Reeves's turtle) is the source of this 590-nucleotide long non-coding RNA. RefSeq lists it as uncharacterized. The transcript has 3 exons. Lineage: Eukaryota; Metazoa; Chordata; Testudines; Geoemydidae. The record is from RefSeq and is a predicted model, not a curated record.
GUCCUGGAGCCUUAAAAUCCCACCUCUCUUAAAGAAGUUUCCCUGUCCUGUGGGAUUAAUUCCACUGAAUAACUUUGAGUUCUUGUGACAAAGACAUGCCCUAACUACAGGACAGGUCUAGCUGUCCUAGCCCACUGAGGAAUUGAGCAGCCCUGGGCUUAGCAGUGGCCCGCAAACUCCUCGUCCAUAUCAACCCAUUCAGAAGCAUCCCUGCUGGCUUCAAGAGGAGUUUCUAGUCUGUUCUGCCCCUGCUCCUGAAUUCCAGAAUGCUGUGAAAUGAACAAGACAGUCCUAAUCUUCCUCAAGUGGUUCUUCCUCUUCAUGGAGUUUUUCCCGAUUACUAAUAGUCUCAUUGCACUAUGUCUAAAUCGAGCUAUUGAACGAAGCUAGAGAGCAUUCCACUGUACACGCAAUGAAGGAAGAUCAUGCUGGGACAGUCACCUUCAACAUCGUGCAUUCAGUCUAAAUUUACAGUAAUAGACUCGUACUCCAAGAAUGCUUGCUGUGUUUGUUUGCAAACUAGUAUGCAGUACUUACAAGUCUGUGGUUUUAUUGACAUAUUCCUUUCCUUUCCUGUGGAUUUUAAUUGA